AGAGUUUGAUCAUGGCUCAGGAUGAACGCUAGCUACAGGCUUAACACAUGCAGGUCGAGGGGAAACGAUAUUGGAAGCUUGCUUCCGAUAGGCGUCGACCGGCGCACGGGUGAGUAACGCGUAUCCAACCUGCCCAUCACUUGGGGAUAACCUUGCGAAAGUAAGACUAAUACCCAAUGACGUCUCUAGAAGACAUCUGAAGGAGAUUAAAGAUUUAUCGGUGAUGGAUGGGGAUGCGUCAGAUUAGCUUGUUGGCGGGGUAACGGCCCACCAAGGCUACGAUCAGUAGGGGUUCUGAGAGGAAGGUCCCCCACAUUGGAACUGAGACACGGUCCAAACUCCUACGGGAGGCAGCAGUGAGGAAUAUUGGUCAAUGGACGAGAGUCUGAACCAGCCAAGUAGCGUGCAGGAUGACGGCCCUAUGGGUUGUAAACUGCUUUUAUAAGGGAAUAAAGUGAGCCUCGUGAGGCUUUUUGCAUGUACCUUAUGGAUAAGGACCGGCUAAUUCCGUGCCAGCAGCCGCGGUAAUACGGAAGGUCCGGGCGUUAUCCGGAUUUAUUGGGUUUAAAGGGAGCGUAGGCCGGAGAUUAAGCGUGUUGUGAAAUGUAGACGCUCAACGUCUGCACUGCAGCGCGAACUGGUUUCCUUGAGUACGCACAAAGUGGGCGGAAUUCGCGGUGUAGCGGUGAAAUGCUUAGAUAUCACGAAGAACUCCGAUUGCGAAGGCAGCUCACUGGAGCGCAACUGACGCUGAAGCUCGAAAGUGCGGGUAUCGAACAGGAUUAGAUACCCUGGUAGUCCGCACGGUAAACGAUGGAUGCCCGCUGUUGGUCUGAAUAGGUCAGCGGCCAAGCGAAAGCAUUAAGCAUCCCACCUGGGGAGUACGACCGCAAGGUUGAAACUCAAAGGAAUUGACGGGGGCCCGCACAAGCAGUGGAGUAUGUGGUUUAAUUCGACGCAACGCGAAGAACCUUACCAAGUCUUGACAUCCUGCGACGCACAUAGAAAUAUGUGUUUCCUUCGGGACGCAGAGACAGGUGGUGCAUGGUUGUCGUCAGCUCGUGUCGUGAGAUGUUGGGUUAAGUCCCGCAACGAGCGCAACCCUUAUGGUCAGUUACUACGCAAGAGGACUCUGGCCAGACCGCCGUUGACAAAACGGAGGAAGGUGGGGAUGACGUCAAAUCAUCAUGCCCUUUAUGACUUGGGCUACACACGUACUACAAUGGCGUUAAACAAAGAGAAGCAAGACCGCGAGGUGGAGCAAAACUCAGAAACAACGUCCCAGUUCGGACUGCAGGCUGCAACUCGCCUGCACGAAGUCGGAAUUGCUAGUAAUCGCAGAUCAGCAUGCUGCGGUGAAUACGUUCCCGGGCCUUGUACACACCGCCCGUCACACCAUGAGAGCCGGGGGGACCCGAAGUCGGUAGUCUAACCGCAAGGAGGACGCCGCCGAAGGUAAAACUGGUGAUUGGGGUGAAGUCGUAACAAGGUA
RNAcentral lists this ribosomal RNA (1492 nucleotides) under metagenome. Its description in RNAcentral is "bacterial SSU rRNA". It matches the Rfam family "Bacterial small subunit ribosomal RNA". The record is from RNAcentral.